RNAcentral lists this ribosomal RNA (253 nucleotides) under uncultured bacterium. RNAcentral describes it as "partial 16S ribosomal RNA". It matches the Rfam family "Bacterial small subunit ribosomal RNA", at positions 524 to 776 of the family's 1533-position model. The record is from RNAcentral.
UACGUAGGGUGCAAGCGUUAAUCGGAUUUACUGGGCGUAAAGCGUGUGUAGGUGGCUUACUAAGUCGAUUGUGAAAGCCCUGGGCUCAACCUGGGAAUUGCAGUCGAUACUGGAAAGCUCGAGUUCGGUAGAGGACGGCGGAAUUCCCGGUGUAGCGGUGAAAUGGGUAGAUAUCGGGAGGAACACCGAUGGCGAAAGCAACCGUCUGGGCCUGAACUGACACUGAGACACGAAAGCGUGGGGAGCAAACAGG